UACGGGGGGGGCAAGCGUUGUUCGGAAUUACUGGGCGUAAAGGGCUCGUAGGCGGCCAACUAAGUCCGACGUGAAAUCCCAAGGCUUAACCUUGGAACUGCGUCGGAUACUGGAUGGCUUGAGUUCGGGAGAGGGAUGCAGAAUUCCAGGUGUAGCGGUGAAAUGCGUAGAUAUCUGGAGGAAUACCGGUGGCGAAGGCGGCAUCCUGGACCGACAUUGACGCUGAGGAGCGAAAGCUAAGGGAGCAAACGGG
This 253-nucleotide ribosomal RNA is filed under the name uncultured bacterium. RNAcentral describes it as "partial 16S ribosomal RNA". It matches the Rfam family "Bacterial small subunit ribosomal RNA", at positions 524 to 776 of the family's 1533-position model. The record is from RNAcentral.